RNAcentral lists this ribosomal RNA (497 nucleotides) under uncultured bacterium. Its description in RNAcentral is "partial 16S ribosomal RNA". It matches the Rfam family "Bacterial small subunit ribosomal RNA", at positions 28 to 507 of the family's 1533-position model. The record is from RNAcentral.
GAUGAACGCUGGCGGCGUGCCUAAUACAUGCAAGUCGAGCGAACAGACGAGGAGCUUGCUCCUCUGACGUUAGCGGCGGACGGGUGAGUAACACGUGGAUAACCUACCUAUAAGACUGGGAUAACUUCGGGAAACCGGAGCUAAUACCGGAUAAUAUAUUGAACCGCAUGGUUCAAUAGUGAAAGACGGUUUUGCUGUCACUUAUAGAUGGAUCCGCGCCGCAUUAGCUAGUUGGUAAGGUAACGGCUUACCAAGGCGACGAUGCGUAGACGACCUGAGAGGGUGAUCGGCCACACUGGAACUGGGACACGGUCCAGACUCCUACGGGAGGCAGCAGUAGGGAAUCUUCCGCAAUGGGCGAAAGCCUGACGGAGCAACGCCGCGUGAGUGAUGAAGGUCUUCGGAUCGUAAAACUCUGUUAUUAGGGAAGAACAAAUGUGUAAGUAACUAUGCACGUCUUGACGGUACCUAAUCAGAAAGCCACGGCUAACUACGUG